Halococcus morrhuae DSM 1307 is the source of this 83-nucleotide transfer RNA. It matches the Rfam family "tRNA". From Rfam's summary of the family: Transfer RNA (tRNA) molecules are approximately 80 nucleotides in length. Their secondary structure includes four short double-helical elements and three loops (D, anti-codon, and T loops). NCBI's taxonomy places the organism in Archaea, Methanobacteriati, Methanobacteriota, Halobacteria, Halobacteriales, Halococcaceae. The record is from Rfam.
GGUGGGGUGGCAGAGUGGACGAUUGCGCCUGUCUUGAAAACAGGUGGCCUAUGGCCUCAUGGGUUCGAAUCCCAUCCCCACCG